Thalassophryne amazonica is the source of this 236-nucleotide long non-coding RNA. RefSeq lists it as uncharacterized. NCBI's taxonomy places the organism in Eukaryota, Metazoa, Chordata, Actinopteri, Batrachoidiformes, Batrachoididae. The transcript is spliced from 3 exons. The record is from RefSeq and is a predicted model, not a curated record.
UGAUUUCUCUCUUUUGAUUUUAAGAUAUGUUACUACUAUGCUACUAAGGGUUACCUUUUGAUGAUUUUUAAAGUAUUACAAAAAAAAAAAACAGGUGAAAUAUUAUUAUAUGAACAGUCAGAGAAACAUGAAAAGACCUAUGUGUAUGAUUUAUCAUGAAAAUGCUACUAUCAACAAAAUAUAAUUAUAUAGACUUAAAAUGGAAAAACUUAAAUAUCUUAGAAACAGUAGCCAAC